This 253-nucleotide ribosomal RNA is filed under the name uncultured prokaryote. RNAcentral describes it as "partial 16S ribosomal RNA". It matches the Rfam family "Bacterial small subunit ribosomal RNA", at positions 525 to 777 of the family's 1533-position model. The record is from RNAcentral.
ACGUAGGGGGCAAGCGUUGUCCGGAAUCACUGGGCGUAAAGGGCGCGUAGGCGGCCUGGUAAGGUCGCGGUGAAAGCCCGGGGCUCAACCCCGGGUCGGCCGUGGCAACUGCGAGGCUUGAGCACAGUAGAGGCGGGUGGAAUUCCGAGUGUAGAGGUGAAAUUCGUAGAUAUUCGGAAGAACACCAGUGGCGAAGGCGGCUCACUGGACCGGUAUUGACGCUGAGGUGCGAAAGCGUGGGGAGCAAACAGGA